CCGUGCUAGGUGGGGAGGUAGCGGUGCCCUGCACCCGCAAUCCGCUGUAGCGGGGCUGAAUUCCCAUCCGAGGAGCGGGUUUGUAGGGUCUGAGGCCGGCAAGUGGUGUUGAGAGCCGGGUCCUACGCAAUGGGAAUCCGUGAACCGGGUCAGGACCGGGAGGUAGCAGCCCUAAGCGGACACUCUCAUGUGCCGUGGGGUAGCCCGGAAGGAGCAGUCUACCGGUCGGCGCCUGGAAGCUCGUAUUCGACGGUGGGUGCACGG
RNAcentral lists this signal recognition particle RNA (264 nucleotides) under Actinomycetota bacterium. RNAcentral describes it as "Actinobacteria bacterium signal recognition particle sRNA large type". It matches the Rfam family "Bacterial large signal recognition particle RNA". Rfam says of the family: The signal recognition particle (SRP) is a universally conserved ribonucleoprotein involved in the co-translational targeting of proteins to membranes. Lineage: Bacteria; Bacillati; Actinomycetota. The record is from RNAcentral.